RNAcentral lists this ribosomal RNA (432 nucleotides) under uncultured bacterium. RNAcentral describes it as "bacterial SSU rRNA". It matches the Rfam family "Bacterial small subunit ribosomal RNA", at positions 340 to 786 of the family's 1533-position model. The record is from RNAcentral.
UACGGAAGGCAGCAGUGGGGAAUCUUGCGCAAUGGGCGAAAGCCUGACGCAGCCAUGCCGCGUGAAUGAUGAAGGUCUUAGGAUUGUAAAAUUCUUUCACCGGGGACGAUAAUGACGGUACCCGGAGAAGAAGCCCCGGCUAACUUCGUGCCAGCAGCCGCGGUAAUACGAAGGGGCUAGCGUUGCUCGGAAUUACUGGGCGUAAAGGGAGCGUAGGCGGACAUUUAAGUCAGGGGUGAAAUCCCGGGGCUCAACCUCGGAAUUGCCUUUUGAUACUGGGUGUCUUGAGUAUGAGAGAGGUGUGUGGAACUCCGAGUGUAGAGGUGAAAUUCGUAGAUAUUCGGAAAGAACACCAGUGGCGAAGGCGACACACUGGCUCAUUACUGACGCUGAGGCUCGAAAAGCGUGGGGAGCAAACAGGGAUUAGAUACC